Lonchura striata (white-rumped munia) is the source of this 3387-nucleotide non-coding RNA. NCBI's taxonomy places the organism in Eukaryota, Metazoa, Chordata, Aves, Passeriformes, Estrildidae. The record is from RefSeq and is a predicted model, not a curated record.
CGGGGCCGAGCGGGAGCUGCGGAGCGCGGCGCGGGCACGGCCGGAGCAGCGGGACUCGGCGCGGGCAGCGAUGCGGCUCCGCCGCCGCCCGGGCUCGCCGCCUUCGCCUCCCGCCGGGCGCCGGUGACCGUCACAGCGUCCCCGCCCCGGCGGAAUGAGCCCCGCCGCGCCGCCCCGCCAGCGCCGCGAUCCGGAGAAUUACUGAAGCUUGGAUUGCUCUCUUGAUACUAUAAACCUGCAAUAAGUGGCAAUGUCAAGGGUUCCCACCCCACCUCCUCCUGGAGAGAUGUCCAGUGGACCUGUGGCUGAAAGCUGGUGUUACACCCAGGUUAAAGUAGUAAAAUUUUCAUACAUGUGGACCAUUAAUAACUUCAGUUUUUGCCGUGAAGAAAUGGGUGAAGUUUUAAAGAGUUCUACAUUUUCGUCAGGGCCAAAUGACAAAAUGAAGUGGUGCCUGAGAGUGAAUCCAAAGGGAUUAGAUGAUGAAAGCAAAGACUACUUGUCAUUGUAUUUGCUUUUAGUCAGUUGUCCAAAAAGUGAAGUCAGAGCAAAAUUCAAAUUUUCCUUGCUGAAUGCUAAAAGAGAAGAAACAAAAGCAAUGGAAAGCCAAAGAGCAUAUCGAUUUGUGCAAGGCAAGGACUGGGGAUUUAAGAAAUUUAUCCGAAGAGAUUUUUUACUAGAUGAAGCUAAUGGUCUUCUACCAGAUGACAAGCUUACAUUAUUUUGUGAGGUAAGCGUGGUCCAAGACUCAGUAAAUAUAUCAGGACAGUCUAAUACAAACACUUUGAAGGUACCUGAAUGUCGACUAGCAGAAGAUUUAGGGAAUCUCUGGGAAACAACAAGAUUUACAGAUUGCAGUUUUUAUGUAGGAGGACAAGAAUUCAAAGCUCAUAAAUCUGUCCUUGCAGCACGAUCUCCAGUUUUUAAUGCAAUGUUUGAACAUGAAAUGGAGGAAAGCAAAAAGAAUCGUGUAGAAAUAAAUGAUGUAGACCCUGAAGUUUUUAAAGAAAUGAUGAGAUUCAUUUACACAGGAAAAGCACCAAACCUUGAAAAAAUGGCUGACAAUUUGUUGGCAGCUGCAGACAAAUAUGCACUGGAACGGCUGAAGGUGAUGUGUGAGGAAGCACUCUGUAGUAACCUCUCGGUAGAAAAUGUUGCUGACAUUCUUAUCCUCGCAGAUUUGCACAGCGCUGAACAGCUAAAAGCACAAGCAAUAGACUUUAUUAACAGGUGCAGUGUUCUUAGACAACUUGGGUGUAAAGAUGGGAAAAACUGGAAUAGCAAGUAAGUUUCCCUGCCCCACGAUGUUCUGUACAAACACUGCUAAGUAGACUGCAGAUCUUAAGAACUGUUGCUUCAUUUCCACACUACUGAGGCCUGUCACUGACUCCAAGCAACAGACAUAAUGGAAACUGCAGGCUGGAAGUCCAUGAUCCACUCCCACCCUCACUUAGUAGCCGAGGCCUUUCGCGCUCUGGCGUCUGCACAGUGUCCACAGUUUGGCAUUCCACGCAAACGGCUAAAACAGUCCUGAAAUCUUCCAUGGACUCUAGAGAGAUUGGACUGACUCCACUCCUCCUUGUCCAGAGGUGUUUUCACAAACCAUAACAAGAGUUUUUGUUAUCCUUGUCCACAGAACAGAAGCUGAAAAAGCCUAUUGUUUGCUUUUCAGAUGGAUAAUUUAUGGUUUAAUCCUCAGCUUUAAAUUAGACUGAUUACUCUAAUUCACUGAAAGGCCUUAAAUUAUCUUCAAUGACUCUCUAGUCCAUAUAGUCUAAUGUAUCUUGAUUUUUUUAUUAUUAUUUUUUAAUGUGCCUUGUCUUUUUGACUAGGCUCUGCAGGAUUGCACUAGCUCCAUAAUGCAGUAAAGUUGAUAACUGAAGAUUAAUUUUUGAAAGGGAUCUUCCAUUAUUUUCAGAAGAAAAAAGAAAAGGAUUAUAGUUUGGUCCUGUGCUAACUGGAAGGUUUUGGCUCUCAUUAAAAACACUUGAACCAGAGGCACAUCGUGUACCCUAGGCAAGUGCUAAAUAUAGGGAGAGCCUGUUUACCUUCAGCAAAUGCUCACAGGCUAUUUAUGGCAAUAUACUGCUUUGAACAUAAUUUAUUUUUCAUUGUGGGGGCAAAUAUGCAAUGGUUUGGCCCAAAAAUGUAUUUUCAUUACAGUUUGUAAUGCUUAUUGUGUGUGUGUGUCAAAGCUGUCCAAGCGGUGAAGAGAAACACAGAAUAAACCUUUGGCUUGUGUUUCUUUAUGGUCCAUUAUUAGUUUACAUUUAAUGCAGAACUGAACGAGAGGUAAAAGAGAUCAAUGUGAAAAGGAAUAGUGUUGUAUAUGGAAUAAAUAUAUCCCAGUGUAUGGCUGCAUAGAAAAGUCAAGGAUGCAUAGAAUGACCAAAUGCAAAUUGAGGAAAUGGGCCAAAUGGAUUUUGAAUAUGCACUUUUAAUGUGUAACUUUUGUAUGUUGUGUGGUACAUAUAUAUUUUGCUUUUGAUGAAUUAAUGAGGUACAGGUAAUUGUGGCUUAACUUUUUAGAUACAUUUUAAGAUGCCCACAGCCACAUGGGAUUUAGUUUUGUUAGAAAAGAAAGGCAUGUCUUUUUAAGACUCAAUUGAAGGUGGCUAUUGCGAGAUUUCAUAUUUAAGUAACAGAAUAUUUUCGCUUAUUUGAAAAAGGCAUGUGAAUGGUAAAAACUUUGAGGGGAUUUUUCCCAUCUUGGCGUACGUGCAUGGCUCCCACAAACAACCUGGGGAGGCUGUGCACACAUCCAGGAGUAGUUCCCUGAAAUGUCAGAUGGUAUCUGCAAGCAGAGACUUGCUCAGUCUUGCAUUUCAGUUAUUGUACUAGCAUUGUGGAUGGUAUUGAAAUUCUGCAUAAUGUGGAUGGUAUUGAAAUUCUGCAUAAUGUGAAAAGGAUGAAACAUUUGUAAACUGCUUGUCAUGGGCCAGUUCUUUACUAUAUGAACCUUAGCUUUAAUAUCAACAUCCUCAGUGUUUGAUAGCUUUGUUUACAAUUGGGAGGAAAAGUCUGCAGUAGUGCACACUCUAAAUGUUCCCUGAGUUAUUGCAUUGAGUUUACUGUAAUAGUGAUAAUAUGCUGUAUUUCUUUUUUUGGGGGGGAAGAUUUUGGUUUUACAGUGGGGAAUGGGAGGAGAUCUCACCUAAUUUAUAAACAUCUUUGAGUAAGGGUUUGAGUUUGCCUAUUAAAAAAAGUCAUGCAGGGAAGAGAGAGGAAGAAUUUCAGAUUGUUUCUCCAUCCUCAUUUCAUUGAGAUUCAUCUGACUUGCUCUGAAUAAAAUUUUUACAGGAAAGAAUAUAUAAUUUUAUAUGUUGACAUCUAGUAAACCACUUACAAAGGUAAAUUGGAAGAAAAUGCCCAGUCCAAUUUUGAAGA